CCUCCUGUCUAAGGACACCAAUAACAUCAAUCAUCUUCAGUUUUGAAAGACUUACGGCAACUACGUUUUUCUUCGUGACUUCACGAAGCGCCUAUCGCUCAGUUGGUCAGAGCACCCGCCUGAUCAGCGCGACGUCGGUGGUUCACGUCCAUUUAGGCCCACCAGAGUUAUCGGUUUCGUAAGAGCACAAAUUCUUUGAAAAUUACGUAAAUGAUAGUUAUCUAUCCGGAACAUUACAGG
This 240-nucleotide unclassified non-coding RNA is filed under the name Tomato big bud phytoplasma. RNAcentral's name for it is "partial contains 16S ribosomal RNA and 16S-23S ribosomal RNA intergenic spacer". The stretch from base 88 to 161 matches the Rfam family "tRNA". The record is from RNAcentral. Lineage: Bacteria; Bacillati; Mycoplasmatota; Mollicutes; Acholeplasmatales; Acholeplasmataceae.